Molecule: ribosomal RNA, 484 nt
Filed under: uncultured bacterium
Lineage: Bacteria
Description: partial 16S ribosomal RNA
Rfam family: Bacterial small subunit ribosomal RNA
Source: RNAcentral
AUUGAACGCUGGCGGCAGGCCUAACACAUGCAAGUCGAGCGGAUGAAGGGAGCUUGCUCCUGGAUUCAGCGGCGGACGGGUGAGUAAUGCCUAGGAAUCUGCCUUGUAGUUGGGGAUAACGUCCGGAAACGGGCGCUAAUACCGCAUACGUCCUGAGGUAGAAAGUGGGGGAUCUUCGGACCUCACGCUAUCAGAUGAGCCUAGGUCGGAUUAGCUAGUUGGUGGGGUAAAGGCCUACCAAGGCGACGAUCCGUAACUGGUCUGAGAGGAUGAUCAGUCACACUGGAACUGAGACACGGUCCAGACUCCUACGGGAGGCAGUAGUGGGGAAUAUUGGACAAUGGGCGAAAGCCUGAUCCAGCCAUGCCGCGUGUGUGAAGAAGGUCUUCGGAUUGUAAAGCACUUUAAGUUGGGAGGAAGGGAAGUAAGUUAAUACCUUGCUGUUUUGACGUUACCAACAGAAUAAGCACCGGCUAACUUCGUG